GCACCACAAGAACGCGUGGAGCAUGUGGCUUAAUUUGACUCAACGCGGGAAAUCUUACCGGGUCCGGACACACUGAGGAUUGACAGGCAAUAUCUCGGCUGUUUAAUAACCGUUUAUUAAUAAACGGUUUAUUAAACAGAUCGAGUGUUAAAUAUGCUAGUCCUUUCAUGAUUAUGUGAUAGGUGGUGCAUGGCCGUUCUUAGUUCGUGGAGUGAUCUGUCUGCUUAAUUGCGUUUCACUAAGGGCCCAUAAAUUCAAGGUAUGUUAGCAAUCGUCGCUCUAUGGACCCCUUAUUUCAGUUUAUUAAUAAACUGUUAUAAGCGCGCGUCUUGUUUAAAGAGUUUAAGACACUGCGCAUGCUGUUGGGCUCUGAAAGCAACGAACGUGACCGCAACGUCUUGUUGCCUUAAUCAAGUCGGCCGUUUAAUCUGUUUAAUUAAACAAACAGACAGCAGUCAUUAUAUGGCUUAUCCGAGGCUAUUUAAAACUAGACGAACCGCUGUUUCUUUUCUUAAACCAGAGGAAGGUUGCGGCAAUAACAGGUCUGUGAUG
This 552-nucleotide ribosomal RNA is filed under the name Neogloboquadrina pachyderma. RNAcentral describes it as "SSU rRNA". It matches the Rfam family "Eukaryotic small subunit ribosomal RNA", at positions 1164 to 1469 of the family's 1831-position model. The record is from RNAcentral. Lineage: Eukaryota; Foraminifera; Rotaliida; Globorotaliidae.